AUUCAGAUUAUUCAGUCAAUGGAAGAUGUGUUGCGGAAGAUUCAUUAAUCACUGACACAGGUCAGUCCUGCAGAACGUGCAAGAUGCUACACCAGGAUAAUUCAGCUUCCUGCAGUUACUUUCAGUGUAGCAACCCCA
Molecule: long non-coding RNA, 138 nt
Organism: Perca fluviatilis (European perch)
Lineage: Eukaryota; Metazoa; Chordata; Actinopteri; Perciformes; Percidae
Exons: 2
Source: RefSeq, a predicted model, not a curated record